This is a long non-coding RNA of Marmota monax (woodchuck), 2856 nucleotides long. RefSeq lists it as uncharacterized. The transcript has 3 exons. NCBI's taxonomy places the organism in Eukaryota, Metazoa, Chordata, Mammalia, Rodentia, Sciuridae. The record is from RefSeq and is a predicted model, not a curated record.
CCGGCAUCUACGAACUUUUGAAUCAAAUUGUCUUUCAAGUCAAAUAGACCUACAUUUGACAUUCAGAUCGCAGCUUUGCAGCUCGCUGUUGGUGCAACUUUGAGCAAGCCAGUGAUCCUCCCUGAGUCUACAUUUCUUCACCUGCAAAAUGGGUUAGUAAUACUUAUAGGGCUAUGAUGAGAAUUCAUUGAGGCAAUGUUUCUAGCAACUGUCAACAUAGGCCUUACACAUCGGGGACAGUAAAUACAUAUCACUUGUCCUUCACACCUUCUGGCUCCUUCCUUUCCAUGGAGUGAUCCCCUUAGGCCUUACUGUAAAGAGGAUAUGCUGGAGUGGGGAGAGAGGUUGUAUGCUGUGUUUGCUUUUUAUAGGUUUUCUAUCUUUACCCCUGUGAUCAGACUCUCAUGUGUUAUGUCUUGCUGCUUUUAGUGUCUUUUCAUUAGCAGCCUUUUUCUCCCUUAAAUAUGCUGCAUUUAAUCUUACACCAGCUAGAAAACCAGACAAAUGGAUUGUUAGAAGUAUAUAUAAAUUAAGAGUAACUGUGAUCUGAGUGAGAGCCCUAGGGCCUCUCCUGUUGUAUAACGUAGUAGUUCUCAACUGUGGCUGCACAUUAGAAUCACCUGGAGAGCCUUUAAAGCACAUCCAUGCCUAGGUCCCACCCCAGGCCAAUUACAUCAGAUUCUCUGGCAGUGGGGCCCAGGCAUGGAUGUGUUUAAAAACUCCACGUGUGAUUCUCAUGUGCACUGCUUCUCAGCAGUGGUUGAGUGCACUCGGCUUUGACAGAUCUGGAUUCACUGAAGAGAAGUCUGGUUCUCUCCCAGAAUGUGUCCCAAAUCUAGGAGGUUGCCCCAAGGAGACCAGAUGGUGGGGAGGUUCAGGGGUGCUGAAGCUGCUGUUGUGCUUCAUAAAGAAAGCAGCUCUAGCUGGGCACCUUUAAUCCCAGGGAUUUGGGAGGCUGAGGCAGGAAGAUCCCAAGAUCUGGGCCAGCCUGGGUAAUUUAGUAGGACCUUGUUGCAAAAAAACAAAAAGGAGGGAUGUAGCUCAGUGAUUCAAUCUCCAGCACCAAGAAAAAGAAAGAAAACAAAGCAAACAGCUCUAACUAAUGUCUCUAAAAGAGGGCAUUCCUCUGGUAUUUGCAAAUGAUUUCAAUUGCUCUUUUUUGAAAAGGAAGGAAGGAAGGAAGGAAGGAAGGAAGGAAGGAAGGAAGGAAGGAAGGAAGGAAGGAAGGAAAAAUAGAGCCAUCCCUGUCCCCUCACUGAUGUAGUUCCUCCUACCUCCAGGGGCUCUCUGGGACCAGGAUGACUUUGACUCCUAGGGAGAGUAGGACAUUAUGAGAAACAAACCUUGAAAAAAUAGCUUUGUUUUUUUUAUUUGCAUUUUAUUUGAUUGUGUAUUUGGUCUAUUUUUCUCUUGGUCUCGUCCCCUCAAAACGCAUGGAUUUCGAGCCUUCUUAGUGCCCAGCUUCACUGGAUCCACUUUGUAUACAGAUGGAGCCACUCUAUCCCAAAGGCAGGCUAACUUGAACCAACUACUGGUGGACCACUUUGUCUCCUGGCAAAACAGUCAUGAAGUCCAUACAGGUGCUGAGGAUUGAACCUGAUGCCUCACAUGUACUAGAGAGACCUCACUGCAAUCCAUCAGAAUGGCCUUUGCCUGUUGAUUGCAACCAAACAAAAUGUAGCAGAGUACUACAGAACCGUGGGGUCUGAGUGAGAUGUGCUGGAAGAGUUCCCUAAUGCUGACUGUCUGCAUUCCUGGAGGUUGGAUGGCCAUCAUCCUAUGUUCCUUAUACUUACCUGUCGGAUAACCCCAGGAUUCCUGGACUUCUGACCAGCAGUGGAGACAGUGCUGCACCAUCUAGGCAUUCUGAAAAUGUAUUCAUGUUUGUUAUAUGGUUGGGGGCACUACUUGGGUGGAGGCAGAGGGGAGACAGACUUCCUACUACAGGUGGGACAGUCUUAUACAAUGAAGAUUUGUUCUGCAUUCCAUAUGUGUUUGUAUGCCCCCCAGAUGUUCAUGUAGGUAGAAACCUCUUUAUAUUGGUCCAAACCUAGAACCUAAUUCCAUUUUGCACAAAAUACUUUUUGCACAAUUUUGAUAUGCACUGAAUUUUUCAUGAAUGCAACCAUCAUAUAAAUAGAAUACUACAUUUUGUCUACAACAGAGUUGUUCACCAUUUAAGAAAGCCACAAUACCAACAGCAAAAUGUUCAUGGUAUUUGAGUUGCUGAAACAACACAUCUUUAUUCCUCUGCCUUCAAAGAUGAAUAGUGAUUCUACCUAUCUGUAUGAAUAUAUAGUACUUAUUUAGUCUUGUUUCAGAAACAUUAAAUAUAAAGAAGUACCUAUAAUGUUCCAAUAAAUAUUGCUUUACUUCUUUAAAUUCAAAUGUAUUCAUUAUAAGUAGGUGUAAUCAUCCAACUACUUCAUUAUCUCCUCUAGUAUAGUUAUGUUCAAGCAUUUAUAGAUUAUAAUGCAUAUUAUGAAUUUUUUGCAGUGCUGGGAUUGAAAAUGUAUAUUAUUUUAUUUUCUUUUUAGUUCUUUAUCCUUUAGUCAGAAUAGUAUAUUGAUCCUUCCACCCCCAAUACUAGGGGUUUAACCCAAGGACACUCUACCACCGAGCGCCAUCUCCAGUCCUUUUUGUUUUGAGGCAGUAUCUCUCCAAGUUGCCCAGCUUGACGUUGAACUUGCGAUCCUACUCCCUUAGAUUUCUAAGUGUCUGGGAUAUUACGGGUUUGUGCCACUGUGCCCAACCAGUAUAUAGAUUUUUUAAAAGAAUGUGUGAGUUUUGUGGCUGGGUUUGUGGCUCAGCGGUAGAGCGCUUGCCUAGCACGUGCAAGGCCCUGGGUUCAAUCCU